RNAcentral lists this ribosomal RNA (268 nucleotides) under uncultured bacterium. Its description in RNAcentral is "partial 16S ribosomal RNA". It matches the Rfam family "Bacterial small subunit ribosomal RNA", at positions 85 to 354 of the family's 1533-position model. The record is from RNAcentral.
AAUAAGGUUAGUGGCGGACGGGUGAGUAACGCGUGGGCAACCUGGCCUGUACAGGGGGAUAACACUUAGAAAUAGGUGCUAAUACCGCAUAACGGGAGAAGCCGCAUGGCUUUUUCCUGAAAACUCCGGUGGUACAGGAUGGGCCCGCGUCUGAUUAGCCAGUUGGCAGGGUAACGGCCUACCAAAGCGACGAUCAGUAGCCGGCCUGAGAGGGCGGACGGCCACACUGGGACUGAGACACGGCCCAGACUCCUACGGGAGGCAGCAG